GGAGUUCCGUGCUGACACAGGUGGGCUCCGUGCCAAGUCUUCUGCUGCGCCUCAAAGGUUUCUUAUCAGCACCAUGGAAAUUGAAAUACCAGUUCCUUUCCAUUCAUUCUUUCAUUCAAGAGCAAAAGCUGAUGUCAGCGUGACCUGCAGGCCGUGACCAGCCUGCCCCUGCCCUCUCGGACCUCGUGACCCCUCCUGCUCUGCACUCGCCAUGCUCCAGCACCUGUCCUUGCUGCUCAGGGAUCCUGCCUUUGAGAGGUGGCCUCUGUCCUGCUUCGUGCCUGUUGGUCCAGCCUGGUUAUUGCCAGUGCCGUUUUUACUCUCCCGAUGAUAAACGGCCUCUGCACUUGCACCGUGUUCUCUCUCUGCCCGGCUCGCUCUUCCCCAGCUACCUCCUGCCCUGUUCCCUCACCUGCUUCAGAUCUUUGCCCAAAUGUCACCUUCAGCGACUGUGCCAUGUACAGGGCACACUCCCCUAAGCCCAGCACUCCCCGGGACUUUUAGUCUGUCUCAUUUGCUGCUCUGUGCCUGGAGCCUGGAA
Choloepus didactylus (southern two-toed sloth) is the source of this 541-nucleotide long non-coding RNA. RefSeq lists it as uncharacterized. The record is from RefSeq and is a predicted model, not a curated record. The transcript has 3 exons. NCBI's taxonomy places the organism in Eukaryota, Metazoa, Chordata, Mammalia, Pilosa, Megalonychidae.